UGUAUUUUAAUAGGAACAUAUACAUGGGCAAAACAAAAAUGAUAAUCAGCAGAAGAAACUGCAGAAUGUUUUAUCUAUGGAGCCAAAAAAGAGAGUAGCAGACUAUACACAUAAAGCAUUUAUUAAAUCAAAGGAUUCUGCAAAUCAAAAAGAAAUUGAAAUGCCUUCAUCUGAAAGUCCUGCAUCUCUUGAGGCAAUGAGAUGUGCUGAAAGAAUAUCAGAGGGAGACUUUACUCCAGAGCACAUUUCUAGUGAAAGAUCACCUGGGCUUCAGGAGUCAACACCAGGAAAAAUGGAAACUUUAAACUUUGGGAAAGGAAUCUCUCCCAGCAACUUCUGUCCACCAAAAAAGAAUAUUCAAGCUAUUCAUCUAAAUCAGUCCCCUCGCGAUAUUGUUAAAAAGUUAACAUUUGGAAGUAAAAGUUUCUCAUCUGUUUUAACUGCCGCAUCUCUGCUCAGCUUAACUCCAGUAACCACAUAUAAAACUCUCAGUGGAAAACAUGCAGAGGGAUCUGUAUCUGAAACAUGUGAUGCUAAUGAAGAUUUGAGUCUUAGGCGCUGCUCUUCAGAGAAACUUUCUGUUGAAGGAAAACUGCAAGAUAUCACUAAACCUAUCAUCAAAAGCAAAGAAGAUUGUUUGCCACCAUCUCCGUUAUCCAUUUCCAGUGGAAGUAAAGUACAGUCCUGGUGUGAAGAACCUUGUGGCCCCAUACAUGAGUCUGGACCAACUAUACAAACUUUUCUUAAACGAAGGUACCACAGUGAUACAGAAAGCAAUUCUGAUGAAGCAGAAACAAACAAAGAGGAGGAAAAGAAAGGAAGCAGAACAACAAAGCUGCUGCCUAGAAAAUUAUUUAAACCAGAUGAUAAUACUACUUACAGAGGUUAGUUGUGGAGUUAAAGUUGAUAUUUAAGUAUAGUUGUGCAAAAGUUUAAAAUAACAAUUUAA
This 949-nucleotide long non-coding RNA is filed under the name Dromaius novaehollandiae (emu). RNAcentral's name for it is "lncRNA (ENSDNVG00000002588.1)". Lineage: Eukaryota; Metazoa; Chordata; Aves; Casuariiformes; Dromaiidae. The record is from RNAcentral.